RNAcentral lists this non-coding RNA (26 nucleotides) under Rattus norvegicus (Norway rat). The record is from RNAcentral. Lineage: Eukaryota; Metazoa; Chordata; Mammalia; Rodentia; Muridae.
UGGCCAUUCCUUCAGUCUCUGCUCCA